AUUGAACGCUGGCGGCAUACUUUACACAUGCAAGUCGAACGGCAGCACAGCAGAGGUAACUCUGUGGGUGGCGAGUGGCGAACGGGUGAGUAAUACAUCGGAACGUACCCUGUUGUGGGGGAUAACUACGCGAAAGCGUAGCUAAUACCGCAUACGCCCUGAGGGGGGAAAGCGGGGGGACCCUAAAUAGAGCGCACUGGGGAGUGCGUUGUAUUUAGGGCCUCGCGCAAUAGGAGCGGCCGAUGUCGGAUUAGCUAGUUGGUGAGGUAAAGGCUUACCAAGGCGACGAUCCGUAGCUGGUCUGAGAGGAUGAUCAGCCACACUGGGACUGAGACACGGCCCAGACUCCUACGGGAGGCAGCAGUGGGGAAUUUUGGAC
RNAcentral lists this ribosomal RNA (379 nucleotides) under uncultured bacterium. RNAcentral describes it as "bacterial SSU rRNA". It matches the Rfam family "Bacterial small subunit ribosomal RNA", at positions 30 to 369 of the family's 1533-position model. The record is from RNAcentral.